GACGAACGCUGGCGGCGUGCUUAACACAUGCAAGUCGAACGGUGAAAGCGGAGCUUGCUCCGCUGGAUCAGUGGCGAACGGGUGAGUAACACGUGGGCAACCUGCCCCUCACUUCGGAAUAACUCCGGGAAACCGGGGCUAAUACCGGAUAUGACCUCCUUGGGCAUCCUUGGAGGUGGAAAGUUUGUCGGUUAGGGAUGGGCCCGCGGCCUAUCAGCUUGUUGGUGGGGUAGUGGCUCACCAAGGCGACGACGGGUAGCCGGCCUGAGAGGGCGACCGGCCACACUGGGACUGAGACACGGCCCAGACUCCUACGGGAGGCAGCAGUGGGGAAUAUUGCGCAAUGGGCGAAAGCCUGACGCAGCAACGCCGCGUGCGGGAUGACGGCCUUCGGGUUGUAAACCGCUUUCAGCAGGGAAGAAGCCGCAAGGUGACGGUACCUGCAGAAGAAGCACCGGCUAACUACGUGCCAGCCGCCGCCGUAA
RNAcentral lists this ribosomal RNA (485 nucleotides) under uncultured bacterium. RNAcentral's name for it is "partial 16S ribosomal RNA". It matches the Rfam family "Bacterial small subunit ribosomal RNA", at positions 28 to 523 of the family's 1533-position model. The record is from RNAcentral.